Molecule: ribosomal RNA, 449 nt
Filed under: uncultured bacterium
Lineage: Bacteria
Description: partial 16S ribosomal RNA
Rfam family: Bacterial small subunit ribosomal RNA
Source: RNAcentral
AAUGAACGCUAGCGGUAGGCCUAACACAUGCAAGUUGAACGCAUACUUUUACAGUAUAAGUAGCAAACGGGUGAGUAACGCGUGAGAAAUCUACCUUACAAUCUGGGAUAAAAUCCCGGAUUCUUUCUAAACUAGAUGUUCCGACAAAUAGUAUAGAAUAAAAGAUUAAAUGUCGUUGUAAGAUGUGCUCGCGUAGGAUUAGGUAGUUGGUGAGGUAAAAGCUACACCAAGCCGAAGAUCCUUAGCUGGUCUGAGAGGAUGAUCAGCCACACUGGGACUGAGACACGGCCCAGACGCUUUCGAGCGGCAGCAGUGAGGAAUUUUGGACAAUGGGCGAAAGCCUGAUCCAGCCACAUCGCAUGAGUGAAGAAGGCUCAAUUGGUUGUAAAGCUCUGAUUUGAUUGAAGAUUAUGACAUAAGAUCAAAGAAGAGUCCCGGCUAACUUCGUG